GUCGCCAACGAGUGGCGGACGGGUGAGUAACACGUAGGUAACCUGCCCAGAAGCGGGGGACAACAUUUGGAAACAGAUGCUAAUACCGCAUAACAACGUUGUUCGCAUGAACAACGCUUAAAAGAUGGCUUCUCGCUAUCACUUCUGGAUGGACCUGCGGUGCAUUAGCUUGUUGGUGGGGUAAUGGCCUACCAAGGCGAUGAUGCAUAGCCGAGUUGAGAGACUGAUCGGCCACAAUGGGACUGAGACACGGCCCAUACUCCUACGGGAGGCAGCAGUAGGGAAUCUUCCACAAUGGGCGCAAGCCUGAUGGAGCAACACCGCGUGAGUGAAGAAGGGUUUCGGCUCGUAUAGCUCUGUUGUUAAAGAAGAACACGUAUGAGAGUAACUGUUCAUACGUUGACGGUAUUUAACCAGAAAGUCACGGCUAACUACGUGCCAGCAGCCGCGGUAAUACGUAGGUGGCAAGCGUUAUCCGGAUUUAUUGGGCGCUCUAAAGAGAGUGCAGGCGGUUUUCUAGAGUCUGAUGUGAAAGCCUUCGGCUUAACCGGAGAAGUGCAUCGGAAACUGGAUAACUUGAGUGCAGAAGAGGGUAGUGAAACUCCAUGUGUAGCGGUGGAAUGCGUAGAUAUAUGGAGGACACCAGUGGCGAAGGCGGCUACCUGGUCUGCAACUGACGCUGAGACUCGAAAGCAUGGGUAGCGAACAGGAUUAGAUACCCUGUAGUCCAUGCCGUAAACGAUGAGUGCUAGGUGUUGAGG
Molecule: ribosomal RNA, 761 nt
Filed under: Limosilactobacillus fermentum
Lineage: Bacteria; Bacillati; Bacillota; Bacilli; Lactobacillales; Lactobacillaceae
Description: bacterial SSU rRNA
Rfam family: Bacterial small subunit ribosomal RNA
Source: RNAcentral